CAUUAGAUGGCUGAAAGUAAGUUUUGGUCUCUUAAACCAAAUUAUAGUAAAUUAACAAUUACUUCUAAUGA
RNAcentral lists this transfer RNA (71 nucleotides) under Hygrobia hermanni. Its description in RNAcentral is "tRNA-Lys". The record is from RNAcentral. Lineage: Eukaryota; Metazoa; Arthropoda; Insecta; Coleoptera; Hygrobiidae.